Molecule: long non-coding RNA, 840 nt
Filed under: Capsicum annuum
Lineage: Eukaryota; Viridiplantae; Streptophyta; Magnoliopsida; Solanales; Solanaceae
Description: long non-coding RNA (CANN_LNC013182)
Source: RNAcentral
GGGGGGGGGGGGGGAGUGAAUUCUUUCCUUUUCGCCUGUCUAAAAAUGUUAACGGCCCUUAAUUUUCUUAUUCCGGCCCUCUCCCAAACCUCACGCAUAGCAAGAGGUUUAGUGCACCAAGCUACCCUUUAAUGUGAUAUCUUUUAUGUUUUGUUUACAGAUAUUUACAAAUGGGAAAUACAAGAGUGUUUUGCACAGAGCAAUAGUAAAUAAAGAGGCCUUAAUUUUCUUAUUCCGGCCCUCUCCCAAACCUCACGCAUAGCAAGAGGUUUAGUGCACCAAGCUACCCUUUAAUGUGAUAUCUUUUAUGUUUUGUUUACAGAUAUUUACAAAUGGGAAAUACAAGAGUGUUUUGCACAGAGCAAUAGUAAAUAAAGAGGCAAGGAUAUCAAUAGGAAUAGCAAAUUGCCCAGCUAUGAAUGCUAUAGUGAGUCCAGCUGAUUCACCUUUAAUCCAAAAUGAAAGGUUACCACCACUUUAUGUUCCCAAGGAAUACAGUGAGUAUGUGGAGAUGCAACAAACUAAGCCACUGGAUGGAAAGUCUUGUCUGGAUCAAAUCAAGAUCAAUUCACCACCAUUAAAGUAAACAAAAAAAAGAAAUUAUUUCAUUUUUUUACACACGACUUGUCUCAAGAAAUAUGUACUCCUUAAAUUCAAUCAUAAUUUAAUACCAAUCAAAAGAUCGAAAAUGCUAUAAAGUUGCUUACUUUUAUUGUUAUCUAAUUAUUAUUACUCGAUAGAUAAAUUAUUUCAACAUUUUCUCUGUCAACGCUAAGUUUGCUAGCUUAGCUUCCAUUUGUCAAAUGGCAUAGCCUUUAUUGGUACACUUUUACAAGCUAA